UCAUGUAACAAAAAGAUAUGAUAUACAUUUGCAUUGCUUAACACAGGUAGCAAAAGAAUGAGUUCUUUGCGGAGAUUAAAGCUUGGAAGUUCUAAGUCCAACUCGGAGACGUUCUAAUUCCAACUCGACCAAGAUAUUAACAACAACAACAACCCAGUAUAAUCCUACUUAGUGGGGUCUGGGGAGGGUAGUGUGUAAGCAGACCUUACCCCUACCCUUGGGUAGAGAGGCUGUUUCCAAAUAGACCCCCGACAUCCUUCCCUCCAAGAACUUCCCAGGGUAGUGUGUAAGCAGACCUUACCCCUACCCUUGGGUAGAGAGGCUGUUUCCAAAUAGAUCCCGGCAUCAUUCCCUCCAAGAACUUACCACCUUGCUCUUGGAGAGAGUCGAACUCACAACCUCUCGGUUGGAAGUGGGAUUGCUUACCAUCAGAGCAACCCCUCUUGUCAAGUCUCUCCACUCACUUUAUU
RNAcentral lists this long non-coding RNA (470 nucleotides) under Nicotiana benthamiana. Its description in RNAcentral is "long non-coding RNA (NBEN_LNC025922)". The record is from RNAcentral. Lineage: Eukaryota; Viridiplantae; Streptophyta; Magnoliopsida; Solanales; Solanaceae.